RNAcentral lists this ribosomal RNA (1562 nucleotides) under Vibrio neocaledonicus. RNAcentral describes it as "bacterial SSU rRNA". It matches the Rfam family "Bacterial small subunit ribosomal RNA". Lineage: Bacteria; Pseudomonadati; Pseudomonadota; Gammaproteobacteria; Vibrionales; Vibrionaceae. The record is from RNAcentral. RNAcentral also lists the same sequence under 1 other name.
AAAUUGAAGAGUUUGAUCAUGGCUCAGAUUGAACGCUGGCGGCAGGCCUAACACAUGCAAGUCGAGCGGAAACGAGUUAUCUGAACCUUCGGGGAACGAUAACGGCGUCGAGCGGCGGACGGGUGAGUAAUGCCUAGGAAAUUGCCCUGAUGUGGGGGAUAACCAUUGGAAACGAUGGCUAAUACCGCAUGAUGCCUACGGGCCAAAGAGGGGGACCUUCGGGCCUCUCGCGUCAGGAUAUGCCUAGGUGGGAUUAGCUAGUUGGUGAGGUAAGGGCUCACCAAGGCAACGAUCCCUAGCUGGUCUGAGAGGAUGAUCAGCCACACUGGAACUGAGACACGGUCCAGACUCCUACGGGAGGCAGCAGUGGGGAAUAUUGCACAAUGGGCGCAAGCCUGAUGCAGCCAUGCCGCGUGUGUGAAGAAGGCCUUCGGGUUGUAAAGCACUUUCAGUCGUGAGGAAGGUAGUGUAGUUAAUAGCUGCAUUAUUUGACGUUAGCGACAGAAGAAGCACCGGCUAACUCCGUGCCAGCAGCCGCGGUAAUACGGAGGGUGCGAGCGUUAAUCGGAAUUACUGGGCGUAAAGCGCAUGCAGGUGGUUUGUUAAGUCAGAUGUGAAAGCCCGGGGCUCAACCUCGGAAUAGCAUUUGAAACUGGCAGACUAGAGUACUGUAGAGGGGGGUAGAAUUUCAGGUGUAGCGGUGAAAUGCGUAGAGAUCUGAAGGAAUACCGGUGGCGAAGGCGGCCCCCUGGACAGAUACUGACACUCAGAUGCGAAAGCGUGGGGAGCAAACAGGAUUAGAUACCCUGGUAGUCCACGCCGUAAACGAUGUCUACUUGGAGGUUGUGGCCUUGAGCCGUGGCUUUCGGAGCUAACGCGUUAAGUAGACCGCCUGGGGAGUACGGUCGCAAGAUUAAAACUCAAAUGAAUUGACGGGGGCCCGCACAAGCGGUGGAGCAUGUGGUUUAAUUCGAUGCAACGCGAAGAACCUUACCUACUCUUGACAUCCAGAGAACUUUCCAGAGAUGGAUUGGUGCCUUCGGGAACUCUGAGACAGGUGCUGCAUGGCUGUCGUCAGCUCGUGUUGUGAAAUGUUGGGUUAAGUCCCGCAACGAGCGCAACCCUUAUCCUUGUUUGCCAGCGAGUAAUGUCGGGAACUCCAGGGAGACUGCCGGUGAUAAACCGGAGGAAGGUGGGGACGACGUCAAGUCAUCAUGGCCCUUACGAGUAGGGCUACACACGUGCUACAAUGGCGCAUACAGAGGGCGGCCAACUUGCGAAAGUGAGCGAAUCCCAAAAAGUGCGUCGUAGUCCGGAUUGGAGUCUGCAACUCGACUCCAUGAAGUCGGAAUCGCUAGUAAUCGUGGAUCAGAAUGCCACGGUGAAUACGUUCCCGGGCCUUGUACACACCGCCCGUCACACCAUGGGAGUGGGCUGCAAAAGAAGUAGGUAGUUUAACCUUCGGGGGGACGCUUACCACUUUGUGGUUCAUGACUGGGGUGAAGUCGUAACAAGGUAGCGCUAGGGGAACCUGGCGCUGGAUCACCUCCUUAUACGAUGAU